Non-coding RNA from Ictidomys tridecemlineatus (thirteen-lined ground squirrel), 72 nucleotides. NCBI's taxonomy places the organism in Eukaryota, Metazoa, Chordata, Mammalia, Rodentia, Sciuridae. The record is from Rfam.
UGGGGCUUGGCUCAAUAAUAGAGCACUUGCCUUGUACGUAUGAGGCACUGAGUUUGAUCCUCAGCACCACAU